Mizuhopecten yessoensis (Yesso scallop) is the source of this 374-nucleotide long non-coding RNA. RefSeq lists it as uncharacterized. Lineage: Eukaryota; Metazoa; Mollusca; Bivalvia; Pectinida; Pectinidae. The transcript is spliced from 3 exons. The record is from RefSeq and is a predicted model, not a curated record.
GUAGUUUGUUUAAGUGUGUCAACCAUCUUACUUAGGACAAGUAAAGUUGUAGCCUUGACUCAUCUGUGAACACGAUUGUUGGCCUUGUCGAUAAUGUCCGCAGAAAUUCUCCAUGCUUCUAGGAGUAAAGCAGAAGUUCUCUUCCACGGACUUCCGUUUAAUCCCUUUGAUAGGACAAAUAAUCUGGCAUUGUGGCGUAUUGCGGAGAUGUUUAUCGAAGGAUGCUUUAUUCCACAACAAUCAUCGGUAUUUGCAGAUCAAGUAGAUUUGUUUCGUGAUACGAAUAACAUGUUGUUCACGGUCGAUAUGUCGUAUAAACUUACCCAACAAAUCCAUCUCGUCACGAAAUAUGGAAAGUAAAAGAUUCUUGCAUC